CGAGUCGACUCUUGUAGUUAAUGUAACUUGAAAAAUCUUCUUUGAAAAAUCUUUAAUCGAAAUGUGAUUUGUAAUUUGAAAGGUCAUAUGCUAUAUGUUGUUUCGAGAAAAGUGAAGUGAGACGUGAAUGGUCUGUCUAUUCGUGUAUGACAUUAGCCAAUAAAUCAUUUUCUAUUCAACUGGAAUCACCACUAUUUGGCAUAUCUGUCAUUUAUUUAAAAGGUUAUAAUUAAAUUUAAAUUAGAUUAACAAUCUUUAUAUUACAAUAUAAGAUUCUUGAGAAUAAUGGACAGCAAUCAACUUCUGUCAAGAAUGGAGCAUACGGUUCAUUUAAUAUCUAAUUUCCGGCUACUUGGCAAAUUUCACAAUCUUGCGUGCCAAAUCUUGUCUCGAAUAACUUCACCUGGAAGCCAUACUUGAUCAGGAUUUAACGUAAUAUGCACGAGAAAUAUUGUUGCAACUUUCAAAAACUUUUGAACGUCAUUCUACAUCACUAUGAGAAAAAGUAAAAAAAAAAAAAGCUUCACGCGAGAAACACGUAAAAUACUAAUUUUAAAAAAAAAAAAAAAAGGAAGGCAGACUCGACACACUCUGAUAUACUCACAGACGACUCACAAUCACGCAAAUCCUAAUAGAAUGUCCAAGGCUAAACCGUUUGGAAAGUUUCGGUAGCAAUAUCCCUAUACGGUAUUAGCAAAGCGAAGCAAGCGAAGUCCAUCAGCAUCGACCCACACCAUAACUUCCGCAACGAAGGUACAAAUAUACGUAUAUACGAAAUGAAAAAAAAAAAAAGAAAAAGAAAAAAGGAAG
Long non-coding RNA from Apis florea (little honeybee), 810 nucleotides. NCBI's taxonomy places the organism in Eukaryota, Metazoa, Arthropoda, Insecta, Hymenoptera, Apidae. The record is from RefSeq and is a predicted model, not a curated record.